GACGAACACUGGCGGCGUGCUUAACACAUGCAAGUCGAACGGAAAGGCCCUGCUUGCAGGGUACUCGAGUGGCGAACGGGUGAGUAACACGUGGGUGAUCUGCCCUGCACUUCGGGAUAAGCCUGGGAAACUGGGUCUAAUACCGGAUAGGAGCCAUUUUUAGUGUGAUGGUUGGAAAGUUUUUUCGGUGUAGGAUGAGCUCGCGGCCUAUCAGCUUGUUGGUGGGGUAAUGGCCUACCAAGGCGGCGACGGGUAGCCGGCCUGAGAGGGUGGACGGCCACAUUGGGACUGAGAUACGGCCCAGACUCCUACGGGAGGCAGCAGUGGGGAAUAUUGCACAAUGGGCGCAAGCCUGAUGCAGCGACGCCGCGUGGGGGAUGACGGCCUUCGGGUUGGAAACUCCUUUCGCUAGGGACGAAGCUUUUUGUGACGGUACCUAGAUAAGAAGCACCGGCUAACUACGUG
Molecule: ribosomal RNA, 465 nt
Filed under: uncultured bacterium
Lineage: Bacteria
Description: partial 16S ribosomal RNA
Rfam family: Bacterial small subunit ribosomal RNA
Source: RNAcentral